GUUUGAUCCUGGCUCAGAACGAACGCUGGCGGCGUGGAUUAGGCAUGCAAGUCGAACGAGAUUCGGAAUGCCCGAGUAGCAAUACAAAGGCGUCCCGAUGACAGUGGCGCAAGGGUGAGUAACACGUGGGGAAUCAACCUCGUGGUUCGGAACAACCCGCCGAAAGGCGGGCUAAUACCGGAUGUCAUCACGGGGCCAUAUGGCUCUGUGAUAAAAGGUGGCGUCUGUUUACAGGCUAUCGCCGUGAGACGACCCCGCGUCCUAUUAGCUGGUUGGUAGGGUAACGGCCUACCAAGGCUUAGAUGGGUAGCUGGUCUGAGAGGAUGGUCAGCCACACUGGGACUGAGACACUGCCCAGACUCCUACGGGAGGCUGCAGUCGAGAAUCUUCUGCAAUGGGGGAAACCCUGACAGAGCGACGCCGCGUGGAGGAUGAAGGCCUUCGGGUCGUAAACUCCUGUCAUCCCGGAGCAAGUGCCUCCCGGUAAAUAAUCGGGAGGGAUUGAGAGUACGGGAAGAGGAAGCAACGGCUAACUCCGUGCCAGCAGCCGCGGUAAGACGGAGGUUGCUAGCGUUGUUCGGAAUUACUGGGCGUAAAGGGCACGUAGGCGGUGCCGCAAGUGGUGUGUGAAAUCUCUCCGCUUAACGGGGAAACUGCGCACCAAACUGUGGCGCUUGAGUGCAGGAGGGGAGAGCGGAAUUCCUGGUGUAGCGGUGAAAUGCGUAGAUAUCAGGAGGAACACCGGUGGCGAAGGCGGCUCUCUGGCCUGAUACUGACGCUGAGGUGCGAAAGCUAGGGGAGCAAACAGGAUUAGAUACCCUGGUAGUCCUAGCUGUAAACUGUGCGCACUUGGUGUUGGAGGGAUCGACCCCUUCAGCGCCGUAGCUAACGCGUUAAGUGCGCCGCCUGGGGACUACGGCCGCAAGGCUAAAACUCAAAGGAAUUGACGGGGGCCCGCACAAGCGGUGGAGCAUGUGGCUUAAUUCGAUACUACGCGAAGAACCUUACCAGGGCUUGACAUGACCAGGACCGCGGCGGAAACGUCGCUUUCCCGCAAGGGACCUGGCCACAGGUGCUGCAUGGCUGUCGUCAGCUCGUGUCGUGAGAUGUCGGGUUAAGUCCCUCAACGAGCGCAACCCUUGUGAAUAGUUGCCAUGGACCGGGCAACCGGUCCGGCACUCUGUUCAGACUGCCCGUGAUAAGCGGAAGGAAGGUGGGGAUGACGUCAAGUCAGUAUGGCCUUUAUGCCCUGGGCUGCACACGUGCUACAAUGGCCGGUACAGAAAGUUGCUAAUCCGCAAGGAGGAGCCAAUCUUGAAAACCGGCCCCAGUUCGGAUUGAAGGCUGCAACUCGCCUUCAUGAAGCCGGAAUCGCUAGUAAUGGCGCAUCAGCUACGGCGCCGUGAAUACGUUCCCGGGCCUUGUACACACCGCCCGUCACAUCAUGAAAGCCGACUACACCCGAAGUCGUCGGGCUAACCCGCAAGGGGGGCAGGCGCCUAAGGUGCGGUGGGUGAUUGGGAUGAAGUCGUAACAAGGUA
Molecule: ribosomal RNA, 1541 nt
Filed under: metagenome
Description: bacterial SSU rRNA
Rfam family: Bacterial small subunit ribosomal RNA
Source: RNAcentral